AAGUUGAUCAUGGCUCAGAGUGAACGCUGGCGGUAGCCUAACACAUGCAAGUCGAACGGCAGCACGAGCAGAGCUUGCUCUUUUGGUGGCGAGUGGCGGACGGGUGAGGAAUACAUCGGAAUCUACCUUGUCGUGGGGGAUAACGUAGGGAAACUUACGCUAAUACCGCAUACGACCUACGGGUGAAAGCGGAGGACCUUCGGGCUUCGCGCGACUAAUGAGCCGAUGUCGGAUUAGCUUGUUGGCGGGGUAAAAGCCCACCAAGGCGACGAUCCGUAGCUGGUCUGAGAGGAUGAUCAGCCACACUGGAACUGAGACACGGUCCAGACUCCUACGGGAGGCAGCAGUGGGGAAUAUUGGACAAUGGGCGCAAGCCUGAUCCAGCCAUACCGCGUGGGUGAAGAAGGCCUUCGGGUUGUAAAGCCCUUUUGUUGGGGAAGAAAAGCAGCUGGCUAAUACCCGGCUGUCCUGACGGUACCCAAAGAAUAAGCACCGGCUAACUUCGUGCCAGCAGCCGCGGUAAUACGAAGGGUGCAAGCGUUACUCGGAAUUACUGGGCGUAAAGCGUGCGUAGGUGGUUGUUAGUCUGAUGUGAAAGCCCUGGGCUCAACCUGGGAAUUGCACUGGAUACUGGCAGGCUAGAGUGCGGUAGAGGAUGGCGGAAUUCCCGGUGUAGCAGUGAAAUGCGUAGAGAUCGGGAGGAACAUCCGUGGCGAAGGCGGCAUCUGGACCAGCACUGACACUGAGGCACGAAAGCGUGGGGAGCAAAACCAGGAUUAGGAUACCCUGGGUAGUCCACGCCUAACGAUGCCGAACU
RNAcentral lists this ribosomal RNA (817 nucleotides) under uncultured bacterium. Its description in RNAcentral is "bacterial SSU rRNA". It matches the Rfam family "Bacterial small subunit ribosomal RNA", at positions 10 to 818 of the family's 1533-position model. The record is from RNAcentral.